Non-coding RNA from Pelobates cultripes (western spadefoot toad), 7362 nucleotides. NCBI's taxonomy places the organism in Eukaryota, Metazoa, Chordata, Amphibia, Anura, Pelobatidae. The record is from the annotation of a GenBank genome assembly.
UGGUGUACUAGCAAAACCAUUAACGGAUUUAUUUAACCAAUCAUUGUUAACAGGAGUAGUCCCAGAAGAUUGGAAGUUAGCGAAUGUUGUGCCCAUUUGCAACUAUAGGCCAGUAAGCCUUACUUCAGUAGUGGGGAAAGUGAUGGAAACCAUGUUAAAGGAUAGGAUUGUUGAACAUCUAAAAACACAUGGAUUUCAAGAUCAGAGACAACAUGGGUUUACUUCAGGGUGAUCAUGCCAAACUAAUCUUAUUGAUUUUUUUUGAUUGGGUAAAUAAAAUUAUAGAUCAGGUUGAUGCAGUAGACACUGCUUAUCUAGAUUUCAGUAAGGCUUUUGACACUGUUGCAUCAAUAAACUGCAAUCUUUAAGUUUGGAUUCCAAUAUUGUUGAAUGGGUAAGGCAGUGGCUGAGUGACAGGCAACAGAGUGUUGUAGUUAAUGGAAUAUAUUCAAAGAUUGGACUUGUCACCGGUGGGGUACCUCAGGGAUCUGUACUUGGACCAUUCUCUUUAAUAUUUUUAUUAGUGAUAUUGCAGAAGGUCUUGAUGGUAAGGUAUGUCUUUUUGCUGAUUGUGACAGAACCAUCUGUCUGUCUAUUGUGGUGGAUUCGUCUAUUUCUGCCCUCUUUCGUGUAAAUGGCUGUUUCUAUAGCCCAGCCAUACGAAUGACUGUUUUCACCGAACAAAUCUACCGAACGGAUGGCCACCCAGGAUAAGAAGUGUGCUGCUGGUUAACCUCUUGAUCCCAAUUAGAACGUUGUGGUUAACCGCAGACCCUUCUCAAUUAAACCGAAUUCAGGGUGGCCGUCGUUCGUAUGUCGACCACAAGGCAGCGGCCAUUUUAAAACACUGAAAGCCCAGCGGUGUUUGGCACUGAUUCCAUGGAACUAAAAACGGACACUUUUUCUGCCGAACACCGCUGAAACAACGGGUCGCCUGGCUGCCUCGACGAAAGCGUACAAACACCGGCAGUUCGGGAGUUUUAAAAUACACGAAAGGACUUAACCCAGAUAGCCUUCCCAUGGAGUCAAUCGCAUACCGAAAGACUGUAAGGACUUUGACUCCGUGGCGAUUGAACUAUGUGUGUGGGAUCUGAGCGCUAUUCGCCAAUAAUAUGCACUCAGAUCCAGGCUAUCUGGGGAUAUGUGGUGCGAAUGGGAAAUGUUCGGUUAUUUUAAAGUUAUGUAUUUUUAUGUAUUUUCUAGUAUUGUAUUUAAGAUGGCGAUUUGUCUUUGUCCUGGAGAUAAUUGAAUUACUUCCCAAUUAUCUCCAGGGCAGAGGGGAGGAAACCAUAUUGCAUUGUGGGAAAAGGUUACAUCUGUAUGUCUGAAAUGACCCCAUGUCUAUCUGUCAUUACAGUCUCCCAUUUGGUCCCCUAGGGGAGUGUCCACCAAGUGGGAGACCUGCAUAAAUACGGGCAGGUAGUCCACAGUAAAGCCAGAUCCUGUUUGACCCUCAAUGCGGAGCUUCUGUCUCGUUAUUGGGGGGGAUUUCUUAUUUGCGCUUAGAGACUGUUUAUUGGAACCGAAAGCUGCUUGGUGGAUAUCGUUGUUCGGCGGCUAGCAGCAGUUCGUGGAUUUCCGUUCGGGAGUUUGGAGCCUUUCACGGAUCCCGGUCGGGAGAUUACCGCUUCCCCUGAUGGUGGUUCGUAUACUGCAGUCUAUGCGAAUGGAGUUAUUGGUAUUGCGAAAGGGGAAGGCUAACUAAACGGCGGUUUCGCUUAAAGACACCAGGGGUGUCUUAACAAUUGGUCGCAAGCGACGGGAUGAAUCCGACAGCACAGAAGGUCAGCUACACAUCCCGAUUUGGUGAAAAGAAAUGCAGUAUGAGGAGUUAAGGCGUGCUACCCUUAAGGACAUACUUGAACGCCAAGGACGGACAGCAAGUAAUUUGAAAAAUAGAGAAAUUAUUGCUUUGCUACUGGAGAUGGAUGCAACACAGGGAAUGGAGAGAGCUAAUGUGCCCAGCAUUUUGGAUUUAACCCUCGAGGAAAUACAAUUUAACCGGGCAGUGCAAAUAAGGCUGGCACACUUUGGCCCCAACCCCUCAGCAGACAUUAUGGAACGUGCAGGCAGCAGUGAUGGCACACCAGGCGCUCCGGGAAAGAGGAGCUGCAGCAGUAGAGGUACCCAAUAACAAUUUUGGAAAGAAAAAGGUACCCUUUGCUGCAUUUAAAUUUUUUGUUGAAACAGAGGUAGAGAUUGAUGGGUCACCAUCCUCUCUGGGAAAUUAUCCGACCGGGCUAGUGAAGCAUUUUGGGCCAUCCCAGAGGAGGAGAUUACCAGCUACCGGGCAGUGCAAGAUGCGCUCCUAGCCAGGUAUGCGGUGACCCCAGAAGCUUACCGACGACGCUUUAGGGAAACUAGCAAGCAGGUUGGUGACUCUUAUGUAGAAUGGGCCUGCAGGGUCCACCGUACCGCAGCCCACUGGAUGGCAGGAUGCCAAACGGUAACUGGGGAGGAAGUGCUGCAGGUGUUCUUGCUGGAACAUUGCUUCGAUAGAUUACCUACCGGGGUCCGGGAGUGGGUUAGGGAUAGGAAACCCUCCACCCUACCCGAGGCUGCCUGUCUGGCAGACGAAUACACGGACGCUCGCAAGUUGGACAGUACAGCUACCAAAGUUCUUGCCAGAAUGGAGUAUCGACCAACAAUAACUCCAGCACCUUCAGCCUACCAACCCCCAGUAAACCGCACCCCAGCAGUACCGCCAGUGAACAAUUACAUACAACCCUCCCGGUUCAAUGCCAGGGAUUAUUCGCAGCCAAUUCGGUGCUUUGGGUGCAAACAGUUGGGGCACAAGCGACCGGAGUGCCCACUGAACAGCGCCAAUCAAGCCCAGUCGUGGAGGAGACCAGCCAGCGGGAAUCAGCGGCCACCCCAGCCUGCUGCUCACUGUAUCGAGCAGGAGGAGUUCUGGGGCAUUCUACACGAGGCCGACCCAGUGCAAGCAGCUCAUCAGGACAAUCGCCAGCAACACUGGCAGACUGUGAAGCUGAACGGCAGAGUGGUAAAUGGGCUGAGAGACACAGGAGCCACUAUGACACUGCUCCAAAAGAACCUAGUCUCGGAGCACCAGCACACUGGGGACACCGUGGCAGUGAGGGUAGCAGGAGGCGCAGUGUUCCGCUUACCUGUUGCCCGGGCACAUUUGGAUUGGGGAGUGGGUGCUAGACACGUGGAUGUGGGGGUUAUGAAAGACUUGCCCGCUGAUGUUCUUCUUGGGAAUGAUUUGGCCCCUUCGGUUUCCGCCUAUGCCCCGAUGGGUCCUGCUGACGUUAACCCAGUGACUACUCGUGCUCAGACCGUGCUACUGGAACCGGCUUGCCUGCUGAUAAGACCCUCUUCCCCGACUGGUACCUUAGAUCAGGCCCCCUUAAGCUGGGAUUCCCCAGAGGAGUUUGGGAGGGAAACCUGGGCGGACCCGACUCUCCAGAAAUACCGAGAUAGAGCAGAGACUGGAGAGGAAGGAAUAGAUGGGGAGUGGUAUGAGUGGGUGGGGGACAGGUUAUAUAGGAUCCCUAAGCCUUCCCAGAAGAGUGUUGCCCCUCCACAGAAUCAACAGCUAGUGGUACCUGCAAAGUACCGGCAGGAGAUUCUGCGGAUAGGGCAUGAUGUUCCGUUAGCUGGACAUCUAGGGUCCCGCCGCACAGCCUAUAGGAUCUCACAUAAUUUCUUUUGGCCCAACUUUAACCAGGCUGUGCGGAUGUAUUGCAGUAAGUGCGACACAUGUCAACGGGUAGGAAAGCGGGGGACCACCCUAAUGCUAGAUUAUUAUCGAUGCCUAUUAUAGGGGAGCCCUUUUCCCUCAUAGCUGUUGACAUUGUGGGUCCACUGGCCAGGGCUAGCCCAUCCAGUAAGAAAUAUAUUCUUACUGUGGUGGACUAUGCCACUCGCUAUCCAGAGGCAGUAGCGCUGUCUAAUAUAGAGGCAGAGACGGUUGCUGAUGCCCUGGUUAGAAUUUUUACUAGGGUCGGGUUCCCUAAGGAGAUCCUCUCUGACCAGGGAACCCAAUUCACCGCUGUGCUCACUCAGCAACUGUGGAAGGUGUGUGGCAUUAAACUGUUACUUAGCUCACGCUACCAUCCACAGACUAACGGUCUCUGCGAGCGCUUUAACGGUACCCUCAAGCAGUUGCUAAGGAACUUUACAGAUACUUGCAGAGACUGGGAGAGGUUCCUGCCUUCUGUUUUCUUACAGAGAGGUGCCCCAGGAAUCUACUGGGUUCUCCCCCUUUGAGUUGCUGUAUGGGAGAAGGGUCCGCGGACCCCUAGAUCUCAUCUGGGGCCACUGGGAGGGGGAGACGGAGCAGGAGGGGACCCCCAUAGUGCCAUAUGUCCUGGAACUCCGGGACCGCAUGGAGAAACUAUCCCUGAUGGUAAGGGAGAAUCUCCAGGCGGCCCAGGGGAGACAGAAGAGAUGGUACGAUCAGGGUGCCAGACAGCGGGUCUUCCAGGUUGGGCAAGAAGUAUUGGUGCUCAAACCUGUGAAGGCAAACAAGAUGCAAGCAUCUUGGCAGGGCCCGUACAGAGUAGUAGCGCAGAUCUGCGAUACUUACUUGAUAGCCAGCUGUUCAGAGAUCCUUUCAUGUGAACAUGCUGAAAGAGUACCAGGAGAGACCUGAGAAUAUUGUGGCAGUAUGUGCCCAGGCUGCAGAUGAUCCUGGGAAUUUACCUCUUCCCGAUUUGUUAGAGAGGGACCACCAGACUGACCUCACUACCCUUGUACAGCUAGGGGACAGGUUGAACCCCACAGAAAGGGUACAAGCGAAGCAGCUGUUGUGGGAGAAGCAGGCGACGUUCUCCCAGAAGCCAGGUUAUACUACCCUAGCUGUACAUAAGGUCGAGACCCCUGGACAGACCCCCUUACGACAGCCGCCCUAUCUUAUCUUAUUAAGCAGUCCGAGAAGGAAUGCGGAAGGAGAUACAGGAGAUGACCCAGCUUGGGUUCAUCGAGCACUCCGACAGCCCUUGGGCCUCGACUCAACGAGUGGACCACCACUGACGCCUACCCGAUGCCCCGGGUAGACAAAUUCCUGGAUCGUAUUGCCAGGGGGCGCUAUCUGACCACCACAGACCUGUGUAAGGGCUACUGGCAGAUCCCCCUGGCCGAGAAUGCUAUCCCCAAGUCGGCAUUCAUCACCCCAUUUGGCCUGUACCAAUUUAAGGUCAUGCCUUGUGGGAUGAAGAAUGCCCCGGCUACCUUCCAGUGGAUGGUGGAUAGACUCCUGGAUGGCUACCAAGAAUUUGUCUGUGCAUACUUGGACGACAUUGCGAUCUACAGUGGGUCCUGGGAGGAACACCUGGUUCAUGUAGGGGUGGUACUGGAUAAGAUUCGGGCCGCUGGCCUGACAUUGAAGCCAGAGAAGUGCCAUCUAGGUAUGGCUGAAGUACAGUACCUGGGUCACAGAGUGGGAUGUGGGAGCCAGAGACCAGAGCCAGCCAAGGAAGAGGCAGUGGCUAACUGGCCCACACCUACCACCAAGAACCAGGUAUUGGCCUUCUUGGGGACGGCAGGGUACUACCGAUGUUUUGUCCCUGACUACAGCACUAUUGCUAAGCCCCUGACAGACCUGACGAAAAAGAACUUGCCUAAGCAGGUCCUGUGGUCUCCGGCUUGUGAAGCUGCGUUUCAGGCACUGAAACAGGCUCUUGUGAAUGCCCCUGUCUUGGCUGCCCCAGUCCCUAACAAACGCUUUCUCGUCCAUACAGAUGCUUCCAUGUGCUGAGCCAAGUCGGGAAAGAUGGAGGAGAGCACCCUGUCGCAUAUCUCAGCCGAAAGUUUUUACCCAGAGAAGUGAGUUAUGCGGCAGUGGAGAAGGAGUGCUUGGCCUUGGUCUGGGCAUUGAAAAAGUUAAGUCCUUACUUGUAUGGGCAAGAGUUUUCCCUUGUGACUGAUCAUAACCCACUCGUCUGGCUUAACCGGGUCUCAGGGGACAAUGGUAGACUGCUGAGAUGAAGCUUGGCACUACAGCCCUACAAUUUCACUAUCAGCUACCGACCCGGUAAGCAAAACGGGAAUGCGGAUGGGUUAUCCCGGCAAACUGACGUCUCCACCACCUCCUAGUCCGAGUCCGGUCAUCCUCAAGUUGACCCGCCAAAGGGUCAAGCCGGGUCUGCCGGAGUGUCCGACAAGGAGGGAGCCGUGUGAGAACCAUCUGUCUGUCUAUUGUGGUGGAUUUGUCUAUUUCUGCCCUCUUUCGUGUAAAUGGCUGUUUCUAUAGCCCAGCCAUACGAAUGACUGUUUUCACUGAACAAAUCUACCGAACGGAUGGCCACCCAGGAUAAGAAGUGUGCUGCUGGUUAACCUCUUGAUCCCAAUUAGAACGUUGUGGUUAACCGCAGACGCUUCUCAAUUAAACCGAAUUCAGGGUGGCCGUCGUUCGAAUGUCGACCACGAGGCAGCGGCCAUUUUAAAACACACGAAAGACCAGCGGUGUUUGGCACUGAUUCCAUGGAACUAAAGACGGACACUUUUUCUGCCGAACACCGCUGAAACAACUGGGUCGCCUGGCUGCCUCGACGAAAGCGUACAAACACCGGCCGUUCGGGAGUUUUAAAACACACGAAAGGACUUAACCAGAUUGCCUUCCCAUGGAGUCAAUCGCAUACCGAAAGACUGUAAGGACUUUGACUACGUGGCGAUUGAACUAUGUGUGUGGGAUCUGAGCGCUAUUCGCCAAUAAUAUGCACUCAGAUCCUGGCUAUCUGGGGAUAUGUGGUGCGAAUGGGAAAUGUUCGGUUAUUUUAAAGUUAUGUAUUUUUAUGUAUUUUCUGGUAUUGUAUUUAAGAUGGCAAUUUGUCUUUGUCCUGGAGAUAAUUGAAUUACUUCCCAAUUAUCUCCAGGGCAGAGGGGAGGAAACCAUAUUGCAUUGUGGGAAAAGGUUACAUCUGCAUGUCUGAAAUGUCCCCAUGUCUAUCUGUCAUUACAGUCUCCCAUUUGGUCCCCUAGGGGAGUGUCCACCAAGUGGGAGACCUGCAUAAAUACAGGAAGGUAGCCCACAGCAAAGCCAGAUCCUGUUUGACCCUCAAUGCGGAGCUUCUGUCUCGUUAUUGGGGGGGAUUUCUUAUUUACGCUUAGAGACUGCUUAUUGGAACCGAAAGCUGCUUGGUGGAUAUCGUUGUUCGGUGGCUAGCAGCAGUUCGUGGAUUUCCGUUCGGGAGUUUGGAGCCUUUCACGGAUCCCGGUAGGGAGAUUACCGCUUCCCCUGAUGGUGGUUCGUAUACUGCAGUCUAUGCAAACGGAGUUAUUGGUAUUGCGAAAGGGGAAGGCUAACUAAACGGCGGUUUCGCUUAAAGACACAAGGGGUGUCUUAACACUGAUCAUACUAAGAUAUGUAACAGGGUUGAUGUUCCAGGAGGGAUAAGC